GACGAACGCUGGCGGCGUGCUUAACACAUGCAAGUCGAACGUGAUUUUUGUGGAAAUUCUUUCGGGAAUGGAAAUGAAAUGAAAGUGGCGAACGGGUGAGUAACACGUGAGCAACCUACCUUACACAGGGGGAUAGCCGUUGGAAACGACGAUUAAUACCGCAUGAGACCACAGAAUCGCAUGAUAUAGGGGUCAAAGAUUUAUCGGUGUAAGAAGGGCUCGCGUCUGAUUAGCUAGUUGGAAGGGUAAAGGCCUACCAAGGCGACGAUCAGUAGCCGGUCUGAGAGGAUGAACGGCCACAUUGGAACUGAGACACGGUCCAAACUCCUACGGGAGGCAGCAGUGGGGAAUAUUGCACAAUGGGGGAAACCCUGAUGCAGCAACGCCGCGUAAACGAUGAAGGCCUUUGGGUCGUAAAGUUCUGUUCUAGGUGAUGAAAACUGACAGUAACCUAGGAGAAAGCCCCGGCUAACUCCGUGCCAGCAGCCGCGGUAAUACGGAGGGGGCAAGCGUUAUCCGGAAUUAUUGGGCGUAAAGGGUACGUAGGCGGCCUUUUAAGCGUAGGGUAUAAGGCAAUGGCUCAACCAUUGUUCGCCCUAUGAACUGGAAGGCUUGAGUGCAGGAGAGGAAAGCGGAAUUCCUAGUGUAGCGGUGGAAUGCAUAGAUAUUAGGAGGAACAUCAGCGGCGAAGGCGGCUUUCUGGACUGCAACUGACACUGAGGUACGAAAGCGUGGGGAGCAAACAGG
Molecule: ribosomal RNA, 747 nt
Filed under: uncultured Parvimonas sp.
Lineage: Bacteria; Bacillati; Bacillota; Tissierellia; Tissierellales; Peptoniphilaceae
Description: bacterial SSU rRNA
Rfam family: Bacterial small subunit ribosomal RNA
Source: RNAcentral